This 1928-nucleotide ribosomal RNA is filed under the name Eumeta japonica. RNAcentral describes it as "SSU rRNA". It matches the Rfam family "Eukaryotic small subunit ribosomal RNA". Lineage: Eukaryota; Metazoa; Arthropoda; Insecta; Lepidoptera; Psychidae. The record is from RNAcentral.
CCUGGUUGAUCCUGCCAGUAGUUAUAUGCUUGUCUCAAAGACUAAGCCAUGCAUGUCUCAGUGCAAGCCGUAUUAAGGCGAUACCGCGAAUGGCUCAAUAUAUCAGUUUUGGUUCCUUAGAUCUUACACAGGUUACUUGGAUAACUGUGGUAAUUCUAGAGCUAAUACAUGCAAUCGGAACUCUGACCAGUGAUGGAAUGAGUGCUUUUAUUAGAUCAAAACCAAUCGACGGAGGGCCUCGCGUCCGAUGUCGUUCAUUUUGAUGAAUCUGGAUAACUUUCGCCGAUCGCACGGUCCAGUACCGGCGACGCAUCUUUCAAAUGUCUGCCUUAUCAACUUUCGAUGGUAGUUUCUGCGACUACCAUGGUUGUCACGGGUAACGGGGAAUCAGGGUUCGAUUCCGGAGAGGGAGCCUGAGAAACGGCUACCACAUCCAAGGAAGGCAGCAGGCGCGCAAAUUACCCACUCCCGGCACGGGGAGGUAGUGACGAAAAAUAACGAUACGGGACUCUUACGAGGCCUCGUAAUCGGAAUGAGUACACUUUAAAUAUUUUAACGAGGAACAAUUGGAGGGCAAGUCUGGUGCCAGCAGCCGCGGUAAUUCCAGCUCCAAUAGCGUAUACUAAAAUUGUUGCGGUUAAAAAAGCUCGUAGUUGCAUUUGUGCGCCGCGCUGUCGGUGCACCGCACCCGCGGUGCAACUGACACGCCUGCGGAGCAUAUCGUCGGUGAACCGUUCCGGGGCCGGUCUCGUAUCGGUACUCGGCGGUUCAAUCUUCAAAAUCCUAUCGCGUUGCUCUUAAACGAGUGACGAGAUGGGCCGACAAUUUUACUUUGAACAAAUUAGAGUGCUCAAAGCGGGCUAUGAACGCUGCUUGAAUAUUUCGUGCAUGGAAUAAUGGAAUAUGAUCUCGGUUCUAUUUUGUUGGUUUUCAGAACUCCGAGGUAAUGAUUAAUAGGGAUAACUGGGGGCAUUCGUAUUGCGACGUUAGAGGUGAAAUUCUUGGAUCGUCGCAAGACGAACAUCAGCGAAAGCAUUUGCCAAAGGUGUUUUCAUCAAUCAAGAACGAAAGUUAGAGGUUCGAAGGCGAUUAGAUACCGCCCUAGUUCUAACCGUAAAUAUGUCGUCUAGCGAUCCGCCGACGUUAACACAACGGCUCGGCGGGCAGCUUCCGGGAAACCAAAGAUUUUGGACUCCGGGGGGGGGGAGUAUGGUUGCAAAGCUGAAACUUAAAGGAAUUGACGGAAGGGCACCACCAGGAGUGGAGCCUGCGGCUUAAUUUGACUCAACACGGGAAAUCUCACCAGGCCCGGACACCGGAAGGAUUGACAGAUUAACAGCUCUUUCUUGAUUCGGUGGGUGGUGGUGCAUGGCCGUUCUUAGUUGGUGGAGCGAUUUGUCUGGUUAAUUCCGGUAACGAACGAGACUCUAGCCUGCUAAAUAGGCGUCGUCAUUCCGGUGUGCGCGGCGUUCGCGUCGCGCGGCUCACUGGCGGCGUUAUUAAAAUCUUCUUAGAGGGACCGGCGGCUUCGAGCCGCACGAGAUUGAGCAAUAACAGGUCUGUGAUGCCCUUAGAUGUCCUGGGCCGCACGCGCGCUACACUGAAGGAAUCAGCAUGUUCUCCCUGGCCUAGAGGCCCGGGCAACCCUCUGAAACUCCUUCGUGCUGGGGAUUGGGGUUUGCAAUUAUCCCCCAUAAACGAGGAAUUCCUAGUAAGCGCGAGUCAUAAGCUCGCGUUGAUUACGUCCCUGCCCUUUGUACACACCGCCCGUCGCUACUACCGAUUGAAUGAUUUAGUGAGGUCUUCGGACCGACACGCGGUGGCUCUAUCGGCCGUCGGCGUCGCUGGGAAGUUGACCAAACUUGAUCAUUUAGAGGAAGUAAAAGUCGUAACAAGGUUUCCGUAGGGGAACCUGCGGAAGGAUCAUU